GAUGAAGAACGCAGCGAAAUGCGAUAAGUAAUGCGAAUUGCAGAUUUCAGUGAGUCAUCGAAUCUUUGAACGCACAUUGCGCCCGCCAGUAUUCUGGCGGGCAUGCCUGUUCGAGCGUCAUUUCAACCAUCAAGCCCCCAGGGGCUUGUGCUGGGGCCCUGCGGCUGCCCGCAGGCCCUGAAAACCAGUGGCGGGCUCGCUAGUCACACCGAGCGCAGUAGCACAUCUCGCUCAGGGCGUGCGGCGGGCUCCUGCCGUGAAACCCCCCACUGUAACCCCAAAGGUUGACCUCGGAUCAGGUAGGAAUACCCGCUGAACUUAAGCAUAUCAAUAAGCGGAGGA
This 342-nucleotide unclassified non-coding RNA is filed under the name soil metagenome. RNAcentral's name for it is "partial contains 5.8S ribosomal RNA, internal transcribed spacer 2, and large subunit ribosomal RNA". The stretch from base 1 to 120 matches the Rfam family "5.8S ribosomal RNA", at positions 35 to 154 of the family's 154-position model. The record is from RNAcentral.